Molecule: non-coding RNA, 73 nt
Organism: Schistocerca piceifrons (Central American locust)
Lineage: Eukaryota; Metazoa; Arthropoda; Insecta; Orthoptera; Acrididae
Source: the annotation of a RefSeq genome assembly
GUUCGGAUGGCUUAGUGGUCAGAGCGUCUGUCUAGUAAGCAGGAGACUCGGUUUCGAAUCCCGGUCCGAUACA